GUCCAGAUGGGUCGUGGAGGCCAUAGAGGACAUGGGCCUUCAGGGAGUCUGGAACCACAACCUGGUGAACCUCAUGUUCAUUUGUCUUUCUUUCUUCACCUUGUACAACAUGCCAUCCUGUAUGGAGAGCAUGGGCCUUUGUCUCAACAGUUUCAUCACCGCACCAGACUCACAAGCAGGCUCACGCAAACAGGGCCUCCCUCGAUGCUGGACGUUAAAAAAGACUCUGCCGAAGAUAUCAUCCUGCUCUUACAGAUUAACCAGUUCACUCCUUGCCUUGUAGAACCCUGAUGUGCGGUCCAUUGUGGAGAAGAACACAUUGCCACCAUGCCGCAAGAGUGUCUGGUUGAUGAGGCAACAGAUGUGCAUCCUUCAAUGUUCUUGCGUUUAACCCCUGAAGCCAUUGCAGACACAAAGAUCAGUCGGCUUGACAACCAGGACGAUGGAAGAUGAAUACUCGCUUUGAGAUUCACAAAUGAUCCCCAAUCCCUCCAUUUCAUACAGCGCUGUCCGAAGCUUGUCCUCCACUGAGUGGAUUCUGUGGAGAAAAUCUGUCACCCCACCACAGUCCAUUUUGUACUUUGUAAAGGUGGACUCAUACUGCUCCAUGAGCCGCAGCAGCUUAUCCUUCCACUCGAGGGAAACUUCCCGAGACGAGAGGUCCACAUCCUGCAGGCUCAUGAGUGAGGAUGCGCGAUAUCUCCUCUUCCGACCCUGGUGUAGGUGGUGAGCUCUGUGUGUAUUGCAGACUGGAUUGGAUGUGCUCUGGUUCUGGUAAGUCUUGCACAGAAAGACAGGGGGACACAUCUGCAUUUACAUGUGUAUUCAUAAGCUGUGAUCAAGAAUCAAUUGUCCAUAGCCUAACUAAUAUAAUGAUGUUACAUACCAUAUUAAACAGCCGAGGCGGGGCUACAAGAAUAUGUAAGCCGUUUGCACAUACUCCCAAUACAACUUAACCACCAAAGUUAUGAAUGACCAUAUAUCAAUAUUAAUAUCUGGCAAAAGGUCCGACCAAGUAGCUUUGAGGCUUGUGAUGUUGUUUGCUUCAUGCUACAGGUGAACGGUUUAGCUUUCCAUAAAGCCUCUACAACCAACAGAUUCACAAGAUAUCUUUCCAUUUCUUCUCAGACAAGAGCGCCAGCAAAACACCCAGCACAGCCAUCCAUCCCAAAAUAUUUGUUCACAGCGAUUGUAGAGAAAUAUGACUUAAGUUUGAAGAUAAACGGUACUUAUCUCCGUCUCUGGUUAUAUUUCGAUCGCAAAAUUGUGAUGCACUCCCUUUGUGAUGCAGAGAAGUGUACCUGACUGGUUUCCUGUCACAUUAUCCACAUGAGUUGGGUUAGUUUUAGCGAUUCGGAUCCUACGCAUCACAAAAUAUGGAGCCUUUCUAAUUCUGGUUGGCUAACAGUGCUGUUAAUCUCAUUUGGAUUGCUAUAUAGACAUAUCCCAAAGGCCCUCAUGAUUGUGACGGCCAAGAAAAUAACCAAAUUAUGGAAAACUAUGAUUUUUGCACACAUUUUGCACGAUUAUUUGAGUGUACAGAACAUUAUUUUGAUUUAUUUAGUGAAUGUUGCGGCUGUAUUUCGAUGUAUUGAACACCAUUUGUAAUAGAAAAGUGAAAUAAAUAACGUGUUACAUGAGAAAAUCUAA
Pseudoliparis swirei is the source of this 1650-nucleotide long non-coding RNA. RefSeq lists it as uncharacterized. NCBI's taxonomy places the organism in Eukaryota, Metazoa, Chordata, Actinopteri, Perciformes, Liparidae. The transcript has 2 exons. The record is from RefSeq and is a predicted model, not a curated record.